GCCUGGAUGGUGGAAUUGGUAGACACCCGGGACUUAAAAUCCCGUGCCAGUAAUGGCGUACCGGUUCGAUUCCGGUUCCAGGCACCA
Molecule: transfer RNA, 87 nt
Filed under: Oxalobacter sp.
Lineage: Bacteria; Pseudomonadati; Pseudomonadota; Betaproteobacteria; Burkholderiales; Oxalobacteraceae
Description: tRNA-Leu
Rfam family: tRNA
About the family: Transfer RNA (tRNA) molecules are approximately 80 nucleotides in length. Their secondary structure includes four short double-helical elements and three loops (D, anti-codon, and T loops).
Source: RNAcentral